ACACACACACACACACACACACACACCACUAGUGAAAAAGUGGUUCCAUGUCUGCUAUUAGCUAACAGUGUGUGUGUGUGUGUGUGUGUGUGUGUGU
Molecule: microRNA precursor, 97 nt
Filed under: Podarcis lilfordi (Lilford's wall lizard)
Lineage: Eukaryota; Metazoa; Chordata; Lepidosauria; Squamata; Lacertidae
Source: RNAcentral